UACGGAGGGGGCUAGCGUUGUUCGGAAUUACUGGGCGUAAAGCGCACGUAGGCGGCUUUGUAAGUUAGAGGUGAAAGCCCGGGGCUCAACUCCGGAAUUGCCUUUAAGACUGCAUCGCUAGAAUUGUGGAGAGGUAAGUGGAAUUCCGAGUGUAGAGGUGAAAUUCGUAGAUAUUCGGAAGAACACCAGUGGCGAAGGCGGCCAACUGGACGAGUACUGACGCUGAGACACGAAAGCGUGGGGAGCAAACAGG
This 253-nucleotide ribosomal RNA is filed under the name uncultured bacterium. RNAcentral's name for it is "partial 16S ribosomal RNA". It matches the Rfam family "Bacterial small subunit ribosomal RNA", at positions 524 to 776 of the family's 1533-position model. The record is from RNAcentral.